Molecule: non-coding RNA, 3891 nt
Organism: Lonchura striata (white-rumped munia)
Lineage: Eukaryota; Metazoa; Chordata; Aves; Passeriformes; Estrildidae
Source: RefSeq, a predicted model, not a curated record
GGUGCAAAAUUCAAGACCUUUAUUUUCUAAGACCUAACACUGUUAAGUAUGCAUCCUAUCUUCUAAAAAGCAUUUGUAAGAUUUCAUUAUACCCUCCUGGUAUCUGCAGCAAGUUCAGGCCAACAAGUUACAUAAGGGCAGAAGUUCAUUGUUAUGUAAUUAAAUAUAAUGCUGUGAGAUGGAAAACUUGAAUGUGUGAGAAAACCUGCAAGCUACUAAAAUAUAUUGUAUUGCUACGUAGUUGACAAAUCAUACAAUUUAUGUACAGCAGCUUUGUUUUGAAGAACAAGGAAUGCUCAAUAGCUUGCAGUAACGGUUCUGGUUUGAUUUCUGGUGAAGGGGAAAUGUGUAAAUAAAGCUUCUCUUAAUUACACUUCAAAAUAUAUUUAUGUGUAUUUACAUAGUUUUAAAGCAGGUGGAUAUGUGUAUAAGGUAGUUUACUUGAUGGGUGAAAUACUGAGACAGUGGUUUUGAUACAGCGGUUUUGGAUAUAUUUUCAUUUUUUCCUAUCUGCUUAGUUUUGGGAUAGAUCUGACAUUAGGUUUAAUGCUUUGUAGUUUACCCCAUAGCUGAGGAUAUUUGCUGAUGGAGAAAAAUUAAUUCCCUUCCAUUGUGGCUGUACUAGCUUGUCAGUUGCAAGGCUGGUUAGGCUGUACAUUUUGAAAAACUGCUCUUGCUUGGGAUGCCUGAGAUGGCAGACUGCAUUAUAGAGCUUAGGGAAGUGUUUUGAUAACAUAAUGAAUGAGAAGGGACUCUAGGGCUUUACAGUGGAAAAAAUUUCCAGGGUUCUUAUUCAACAUGGUCAUGUCAGUCUUCAUGGGUGAUUUUGAAUUUCUGGAUGUCCAGUGAGAUCUCCCUCACUGAAAGGAAAAAAGUCACGAUUUUACAAGAAUUCCCUGAUCAGUCUAAGUACAGGACUACCUAUCAGUGCUGUGUUUCUUCUGGGUGCUUCAAUCACAUUUGCAGACCGCCUCUUUCAAUUUUUCUUUCAGGAAGCAUUCUGUGUCUUGCUUCUUGGCAGAGGCUGCAUGUUAUUUAACAGCCCUUUCAUCUUGUGCUACCUCACUGUUUCUGUGACAUCUGGCACUGUUCACCUUCUUCCAACUGCAUCAUUACUUACCUCUAAAAUUUCAAAGUGCAGAUUUGUAGUAGAUGCAAAAACAGAAAUAAGGUCAUAUUUACUUGUUACCUGCCUCAUGUAAUGCCAGCAUAACUUAAGCCUAUAUAGAACAGCUUCUCUUUGAAAAGUAUAGCAUUGAAUACAUGACACAGGUCUAAGGCACAUGGAUGUUGCUCCUGAACUCAGGAUGCUGCUCCUGAACUCAGCUGAAAUUUUGAAAUACUUAUUCAAUGCUUUCCUACCUGGUUGUCAGAACUAGGAAAAAUUUAGGUGACUCAGCUCUAAGUUCUGGCUUACAUUUGAGAAAGGUGCAUUCUUUGAAGCAACCUCACCAGUGCUAGGCUACUUACUGAGGACAAAAGGACUGGCACUUUCUUUAGCAGCCUCUUGCUUGUGUGCAUGUAAAGUGAAAAAUGGAUUUGGGCUACAGCAAGCUUUUACAGUUGGAAGGAGUGCAGUGAACAAGUGUCUGUUGUUUGGUAGUGGUAGAAGAGGAAAGUUACAGUGAGAAAUUGCAAGAACAGGAAACGAAACAAAAGCUUAAUGCAAUUCCAGGAAGUUUAAGGACAUAUAUCCUCUUGAAAACUUUAGCACUCAAGAAAGACAUCAUGUGGAUCUUGAAUGCACUCUGCAAGAUUUUGAAUCCAUAAAUGAAAUGUUAAUAUGAUAUCGUGAGCUAGAUAUAGUCCUGUUUCACUUAUUUCAUGGAAUUUAAAAAGGAAUCAGUUUUCAGUUUCUUCAAUCAGCUCACUUGCAUUGCAAAAGAUAAGUACCACUUAGCAUGACUGGACUCAAAAAUAGAUACUAAAAUAAUAACCUCAUAAUAAUGGUUUAAAUUCCUAACACUUGCAGUGAGAGGAACGGGUGCUUUCUCCCAACAAACUGAAACAGAAAUGAAAGCUGCCUGCAAAUGUAGCUUGUAGCCUUGAAAACACAAGAGUACUUAAGUAUCUUUGGUUCAUUUAGUAGCUUUCUCUUACUGAGUGAAGCAUAAAGUCUAAUUAGUUUGCCUUCUUGAAGGUGUGUAUUUGACUACCAUUUAGUAUGAGUGAAAGCAAAUAUAAUAAAUGAAUAGAACUGGAAGGAAUGAGGAUAUACCAAACAUAUGUGUACAUCUAUGCAUACAUAUGAAUGUCUAUAUAUAAAAAUGGUAUUGAUUAGUUCUUGCUAAGAGUUUGAUCAUUACAACUAUAAAUAUCCAGUAGAAACUUCUUGAGUGAUGUAUCAGUCUCUGGAACUUACCUGCUGCCUUUUCUUUUCCUGUUGAACUGCCAAUACUUUUACAUGAGUAAAAUAGCAUCAAACCUCAGCAUUUGAGAGCAAAUCUGAAGACCUUUUCAAAAAUUAAAAAUUUUGCAAACUUUAUCUUUCUGAUACACAGCAAGUCAUUCCAACUGACACUUCAGUGAAUGAACAUCUUUGUAUGCCAGAAGACUUUAAUAACCCUUUUGCAUUUCUAAAUCCUAUUAACACUGGCCCAAGUAAUGAAAAUGCUGCAUACUGGUUAAUGAAUGUUGUUUAUUAACUUGCUUAUAAAAUGGUUUAUUUGGGAAAAUACCUCUGAAUUUAUAAACCUCAGGUGUAAUAGCUGCCAUAAGAAAGAUUUCCAAAAUAGUAUGCAAGUAGAUGUUGAAUUGCAAAAAGGGAAGAAAAACCAGUAAAGGGAAUAAAGCAAAUAGAUUUGGGAUUUUGGUUUUUUUGUUUGUUUCUCCCUGCCUCCAUCUUGCAGUAACCUAACAGACAUUUCAAAGGUAACUAAUUUAGGCCAGAUCUGGACACUUUCAACAGAUGCACUAAAGCAGGAAAAAAAAAGUAGAUAAAUUGGGGUUUUUUUGUGAAGAAAGAAGUAAAAAUGGACCAUGCUUUUAAUUGGCAAUAUUUUAUGGCUUAAGAAUUUGAGUUCUUGGAAAUGUCACAUAAGACUCACAGCACAGAAAGAGUGUAGAGAAAGACAGACGUUGUGCAGUUGGAGAGAGAGAGAGAGAGAGAGAGAAGCAAAGAGAGGGGAGAUGAAUAGAGAAAUAACUUAGAAAAGUCACUGUGGUACCUCAAAUUUUAAGGGGGUAUUUUAUCCUUUAUAAAGCUUAUUUUUUUGAUAUAUUAUAGUUAGCUGACUAGAUUUGGCAAGAGAAGUGGUUCUUGCUUUUUAAACUUUGCGAUUCCAAUUUACAUACAAACCAUUUUGUAAGUGUUGCUUACCAGUUGUAAUACAUAUUGCACUAGCUCUUGCAUUGUGUGGUGUGACUUCAUAGGAGAUUUCAAAGGUUUUGACAGACUGUUAUUAGCCUGGCCUGUGUUCAUUGUGUGUAAAUGUUGAUGAUUUUAACUGUCCUGUAGUUUUAUAAAUUAUUUUUACAUUUUCCAUGCUGCAUUAUGAAAGAUUUUACAGUGUUGAACAUCUAAUGAACUGUUGUUAGACACUUCUCAUUGAAUUUGCAUGCAUUCCUUUAAUGAGUACAGUUUGAUAGAAUUUAACUAGCCACUUGAAAAGACUGUUUUAAAACAUGUGAUAACUAAAUUCUGUGGGGAAUUAAUAAAACUUACAAAGACUGUGCAGUAGCUGUUUUGAUAGUAGUAGGAAACUGAACCAAAGAAUAUAGGUCAAGAAAGAGUGUGGUAGAACAGCUCUGAAUCGUGGGUCACAACAGGUUCUUUCCAGCUGUACAAGCUCCCGGGAACACUUCUCAGCCUAAGCUGAACUUGUAUUUAUUUAACUUUAUUGUGGUAUUUCUUCCUGCUUCUGAAUUUAUCAAUAAAAUCCUGGUUUUAUU